UAUAAGCAUAUUACUAAGGA
This 20-nucleotide ribosomal RNA is filed under the name Laelaps muricola. RNAcentral's name for it is "partial 28S ribosomal RNA". Lineage: Eukaryota; Metazoa; Arthropoda; Arachnida; Mesostigmata; Laelapidae. The record is from RNAcentral.